UACGUAGGGCGCAAGCGUUGUCCGGAAUUAUUGGGCGUAAAGAGCUCGUAGGCGGCUUGUCGCGUCGGCUGUGAAAACCUGGGGCUCAACCCCGGGCCUGCAGCCGAUACGGGCAAGCUAGAAUUCGGUAGGGGAGACUGGAAUUCCUGGCGUAGCGGUGAAAUGCGCAGAUAUCAGGAGGAACACCGGUGGCGAAGGCGGGUCUCUGGGCCGAUAUUGACGCUGAGGAGCGAAAGCGUGGGGAGCGAACAGG
Molecule: ribosomal RNA, 253 nt
Filed under: uncultured bacterium
Lineage: Bacteria
Description: partial 16S ribosomal RNA
Rfam family: Bacterial small subunit ribosomal RNA
Source: RNAcentral